GAUGAAGAACGCAGCAAAAUGCGAUACUUGGUGUGAAUUGCAGAAUCCCGUGAACCAUCGAGUUUUUGAACGCAAGUUGCGCCCGAAGCCUUUUGGCCGAGGGCACGUCUGCCUGGGCGUCACGCAUCGCGUCGCCCCCCACAAUUCUCCGUAAAGGGAACAUGUGUUUUGGGGGCGGAUAUUGGUCUCCCGUGCUCAUGGCGUGGUUGGCCGAAAUAGGAGUCCUUUCGAUGGACGCACGAACCAGUGGUGGUCGUAAAAACCCUCGUCUUUUGUUUCGUGCUGUUGCUCGCAAGGUAAACUCUUUAAAAACCCCAAUGUGUCGUCUCUUGACGACGCUUCGACCGCGACCCCAGGUCAGGCGGGACUACCCGCUGAGUUUAAGCAUAUCAAUAAGCGGAGGA
Molecule: unclassified non-coding RNA, 404 nt
Filed under: soil metagenome
Description: partial contains 5.8S ribosomal RNA, internal transcribed spacer 2, and large subunit ribosomal RNA
Rfam family: 5.8S ribosomal RNA (bases 1-122)
Source: RNAcentral